UACAGUCAAAUCAUGUUGAAAAUACUGCUCUCAUUUGAUCACUGAAGUUAAGCUGUGUCAAGCCUGAUUAGUACUUAGAUGGAAGACCACUUGGGAACACCAGGUACUGUA
Acanthosepion pharaonis is the source of this 111-nucleotide non-coding RNA. The record is from the annotation of a GenBank genome assembly. Lineage: Eukaryota; Metazoa; Mollusca; Cephalopoda; Sepiida; Sepiidae.